Molecule: long non-coding RNA, 3554 nt
Filed under: Populus trichocarpa (black cottonwood)
Lineage: Eukaryota; Viridiplantae; Streptophyta; Magnoliopsida; Malpighiales; Salicaceae
Description: long non-coding RNA (PTRI_LNC003763)
Source: RNAcentral
AGAGUAAGCAGUGUGUUAUUCAGACUUCUUGAAGAUGCACCUAUUAUUAUUGAUGAGCGAUGAACUGAGUGUGUAAUGGAAGGCAAAUAGGAGGCAACCAAGUCUUCUAAGGCAUAAUAGAAAUUGGGGUAGGGAAGUCUGCCUAGGUCCUCCUUGAAAGGUUGGUCCUGAUGGACAAGCUCGCCUCUAAGUGAAGGGUCAUAUAUUGGACCCAUGUAGUGUUUGGUUCCGGUUAGCAAAGUGACAUGCCUGAGCCUUGAAGGGGCAGCGGGUUUGAGUGCAUUAAGCACGUUGGCUAGCAUGGUGGAGUUCAUGGAGAUGUUUACUUCUUCAUUUCCAUGGUGUUGCAUGGAAACCCAGAAGACGUGGGUGAUCUCAUGAGCCACAGGUGAGAGAUAUGAAACCGUCGACCAAGAAAGCGGGAAACCAUCUUGGCAAGGGACGCCUCGCUAUGCCAUACACCUUCCACGGCCUGCCUGGAGUUGUUGGCUUCUGCAGAUCCUCAGCCAAGCUAAAUCCUGCCAAGCCAGUUAUACCCACAAUCAGGGCAACUGAUGCAUCUGAAGAGUUUUCUCUCUCCAUAAAGAAUGCCCAAUUAUGUUUCUUUUUGGCCCUAGCAUUGCACUGAGAUAUCAUUGAAGAUAAGAAAUCCUCCCCAUCUUGUUUUUUUUUUUUUUAAUUUCUGACCAUAUAUACAUCCUCAGAAAUUGACCAUACAUCCUUGGAAUAAACAACGGGAAUUCUGUGGCUAUGGAAUGCUAUGCUAUCUACAAGAAGAAUAAUUAAAGCAUUUUUCUAGAUAUACUGAGCAUGCUUUUGAAAGUAUCCUGUAACAUUGUUUUCUAAUAUAUUAAAAUAUAUUUUUAAUAUUAAUAUAUUAGAAUAAUCUAAAAAAAUAUAUAAAAAAUUAAUUGAAAACUAAAAAAAAUCAAAAAUAUUUUAGAAGACAAUGCCAAAAUAUAAUGAUCGAUCGCUUUACAACUUGGAUAUGAUGAAAUGCAGCCAAACCCCACUUGAAAUGAAUGGCCUGAAAUCGAGUUUGAAUUGUUAAAAUGCCCUAUAAUUAUUUAAUCCAACAACAUAUAAACCAGAUCAAAAUGUAACAUCAGCCCAGCAAAAUUGGAUGGAGAUAGUCUUCUAUGUCAGGCUCAAUUUCUAUUUUUUUUUCUUUUUUCUUUUUCAUUAAAACAAAAAAAACUUCUUAUGUUAAUAUAUAAUUAAUCAUAAAAUAAUUGUUAAUAUUGUCAUAAAGCUAUAAUCUUCUCGAAUACCAUGACAUAAUUAGAAUAGUUUUAAAAUCCGGUCCAACCCGACAUGUUAAUUCGGGACCCGGCUGACCCGGGGUUGGAACCGGGCCGAAUUUAAGAAAAAAUAAGAGAAGUAAAAAAUUCGGGUGACCUGACAAGUUGACCGGCCUGGUUAAAAACCUGGUUGCAACCCAUUGACUAUUUUUUUUUACCAAAACAAUAUCGUUUUGAUUUAUAUAAACAACUGGGUUGACCUGAGUGACUCGAUGACCCGAUGACCCGAUCUAAACCUGGUGACCUAGGUCUUGAGUUGAGUCGAUUAUCAGACCGGGUUUAAAAACUCUGAUAAUUAGAAGCUUUAUUAACUAUUAUUAUUUUAAUAAAUUUAUUUUUAAGAGAAUUUUAUUUUAAAAUCAAUAAAAAAAAUGGCUCUUUAAGAAAAGAAAGGCACACUUAAGUAUGGGAGGAAACUGGAAAAGUUUGUGCGCAUGAGAUCGGAAGGCCACAUCCAUCUGCCUAGGUUUGUUUCUCUCUCUUUGUUUUUUGUUUUUUUCAUACAAAACAUCGUCUAUGUAAACACUCAACUUAACACUGGUAUAUCAGUACUAAAAAAGACAAUUUUUGAUAGAGAAAUGAUAAUUAAAAAGAAAAAUUUGCUAUAGAUGGGGAUGAAAACCUUUAGAAAUUUAAUUUAAAUUUCAGAUGAAAUAAAAUAAUGAAUAAAAUAAUGAAAUAUUAACCUUGGCUAAAAUAAUUAUUUAAAGAAUUUUUUUAUAAAUUGGGGAGGAAAACAAUGAUAAUAGAGUAUAAUUCUAAGAAAAAUAAUGUAUGACUUUACGUGCAAAAAAACAUUGAUUUUUGAUAUAAAUUUCACAUACAAUCACGCUAUUUUGACUGGAAAUACUGAAAACUCUAAGUAAAUUCUUGUGAUGAUUAUAUAUUGAUGAAAAUCAUCAAUGAAUUAGUUUAAAAAUCAUGGGAAUAUAAGUAAAUAAAAUGAUACGUAAAAGUUUGAAUUUUUUAUAUAAAAUUAUCUAAUAUUUAAUUUCAUAGUACCAAUUAUAUUUACUGUUGAAUUAGAUUGAAAUAAUAUAAGUAGUCUCCAUUAUAAUUUGAGUUAGAUUUUCAAUCGUGGUUGUAAAAACUUGAAAUGAAUGAAAAUGAACAUUUGAGCAAAUGAGAAACAUAAAAGAUUAAGCAGUGGCCAAGAAUGUAAUAAAUAAAAAUUAGAAUCCUAAACCUAAUAGAAAAACAACAUAAAAUUUAUAAUUUAACUAGAAAUCAAUAGAGAAAAAAAAAUAGCAUUUAAUGAAAACCAUUGCAUCAUUAAUUAGUUACACUAUUGUAUUAUUUUUCUUACAUUGAGAAGAAACAAGCUAAGCAUGGAUUGGAGUGGACAUCAUCUUCAUGGUAUGAUUUUCAUGUCCCUCAGUCUCCCCACCCACAUUGGAAUACUCUUUAGUGUAUCAGCAAACCCUAGAAACCCAGAUUCUCUACUCUUGUUCAUGCUACAGACAUGUUGAAACCCAAAAUGCAAACCCACAUUAAGUGCUUCAAAACAAGUAAUAUCUUCCAUCUUAGUCUCAAACAGCCCGAAUUUCUCAACAAUCUCAUCCCACACUUUGCCUUUACCCUUUAUCAUCCCCAGCCAAUCAAACUUCUCCUCAUUCUCUUCAAAGGCCACAAACUCAACAUCAAAGACCUCACACAGGACUCCCCAUAAACUCUUCCACGUAAAAACAUCACCGUUUGUGCAAUUGAAGGCUUGAUUCUUAGCCCCCUCAGUCACUGCUGCCCAUAUUUGUUGCUCAGCUAGCAUCCUUGCAUCAGACACGUCACAGAAGUGCUCCCAUGUAUAUUUGUUCCCAGGGUAUCGAAAUGGUAACCCCUGGUAUCGACAAAUUGUAGCAUAAACAGAUAGAGUAAGCAGUGUGUUAUUCAGACUUCUUGAAGAUGCACCUAUUAUUAUUGAUGAGCGAUGAACUGAGUGUGUAAUGGAAGGCAAAUAGGAGGCAACCAAGUCUUCUAAGGCAUAAUAGAAAUUGGGGUAGGGAAGUCUGCCUAGGUCCUCUUUGAAAGGUGGCUCCUGAUGGACAAGCUGGCCUCUAAGUGAAGGGUCAAAUAUCGGACCCAUGUAGUGUUUGGUUCCGGUUAGCAAAGUGACAUGUCUGAGCCUUGAAGGGGCAGUGGAUUUGAGUGCAUUAAGCACGUUGGCUAGCAUGGUGGAGUUCAUGGAGAUGUUUACUUCUUCAUUUCCAUGGUGUUGCAUGGAAACCCAGAAGACGUGGGUGAUCUCAUGGGCCACAG